This 370-nucleotide ribosomal RNA is filed under the name uncultured Prevotella sp. RNAcentral's name for it is "bacterial SSU rRNA". It matches the Rfam family "Bacterial small subunit ribosomal RNA", at positions 428 to 796 of the family's 1533-position model. Lineage: Bacteria; Pseudomonadati; Bacteroidota; Bacteroidia; Bacteroidales; Prevotellaceae. The record is from RNAcentral.
AACUGCUUUUGUAUGGGGAUAAAGUCAGUCACGUGUGAUUGUUUGCAGGUACCAUACGAAUAAGGACCGGCUAAUUCCGUGCCAGCAGCCGCGGUAAUACGGAAGGUCCGGGCGUUAUCCGGAUUUAUUGGGUUUAAAGGGAGCGUAGGCUGGAGAUUAAGUGUGUUGUGAAAUGUAGACGCUCAACGUCUGACUUGCAGCGCAUACUGGUUUCCUUGAGUACGCACAACGUUGGCGGAAUUCGUCGUGUAGCGGUGAAAUGCUUAGAUAUGACGAAGAACUCCGAUUGCGAAGGCAGCUGACGGGAGCGCAACUGACGCUGAAGCUCGAAGGUGCGGGUAUCGAACAGGAUUAGAUACCCUGGUAGUCC